GGCAUAAAACAACGUCUCGACUGGCAUUGGAGUUUAAAUGAAGGUGUUGAAUAAGGAUUGUUUUCCUUGCUAAUCAGCACCAAUGUGACAUCAAAGAGCUAAUUUGACUGGAUAUUGACUCCAUUUACACGGGUUGACAAAGAUCUCAGAUUAGAGAAGUUACAAUGAGGGCCCAGGAAGAAUUAAUUUGACGUGCUACAUUAAUAUCUCAUCCAGACAUUUUCAUGGACGCCUCCAGCAUUUUGUUUCUUCAUUCUGGGCUGUACUAUACUACCUUUAACCUGCUGCCCGAUUGAGCUUCCACUUCAACGCAAAUGUAUGAGUGAGUUGAAGACCUACCGUAUGCAGAAAUAUACCAGACAAGAAGUUAAAAAUAGUCGAUCAAAAAGUAUAUAGCUUGCCCAAUGACUGAUAUUACGACGAAAAGCGCUUGAAGAUCCAUAAUGAGACAAUUUAGUAUGGAUGUUUUGCUUUUGUACUACAAUUUAAGGGAGCACUUGAUAUUAUAAAUCAGUCCAUUUCAACGCUAGCUAAUCGUCGCUUUACCUUUUCAAUGGAUUCUCUGGUUGUAAGGAUGGGAAAAAAAGUCCUAAAUUCAAGUAAGAAAAAAAGUUCUGAUAGACGAGAUGCUUUUCUUGUAAUUCUUUAAAACUGUGAUCGCUCAUAACAUCUAACAUACGCUCGAGCCCUGCCUUUCCUCGUAAUUCUAUACGCCUGGGAGGGCACUGGUAAAUCUUUGCUUGGCUGACGAAAAGGCGUAACUACAAUUUGAGAUGAGCUCGAAAAGGCAUUGGGUUACAUGGACAACAGAGUUCAUCGUCAAGUUUAGUACGCUCAUGUGUUAGGAAGGCGACGAAAUGGUCUCAGAGCUGGUGGUUGUCAGCAUAAAAAACAAGACAGAGAAUGAGGUAUUGUGCUGGGGUAAAAUCACUGUCUUGGUAAAAGGAGGUCAUUCAUAUUCAAAAAAAGGAUGAAUACUAUGAAUUCGACUACUUUUUCUCUUUGGUUAUACAUACCUACACAAGGGAGAACAAAUAAGGAUCUUUACAACGUUGACCAGGCAUCAACAGCCGAUGCUCGCUAAAAUAUUUCACAUCCAUACUUAAAGACUGCAUGAGUGGCCGUCCAAGCAGGUAAAGUGGAUUCCAGUCUACAAGGGCUAAAUUUUUAGUCAAUUUCAGUUCAGAAAGUCGAAUCAGUAUUUUCAAAAAAUUUUAAGGAGGUAUUUUGGUAGGAGUACUUCUGAAAAAUUGAGGCAUUAUCGGAGAUUUUUAAAAUACGCAAUUUCUGCCGCCAUGCACUUGCACCUGUAUGGACCUCUAAAAUCUACUUUUUAUAUAAUGUCCUUAUCUUCCUUGGAUCAAAUAAUUAAAUUCUGUAUUCAAUAUUCUCUGGGCUCACCAUCAAUAAUCACUUGUGACUUGUAACUUUUGUAAUACAUGUAUUCUGUUAUUUCCUCAAUACACAUAGCCGAAAUAAUACAAACGUAA
Bemisia tabaci is the source of this 1490-nucleotide non-coding RNA. NCBI's taxonomy places the organism in Eukaryota, Metazoa, Arthropoda, Insecta, Hemiptera, Aleyrodidae. The record is from RefSeq and is a predicted model, not a curated record.